AUCUAGAUAGCUUAUAUUAGAGUAUAACACUGAAGAUGUUAAGGAAAUUAUUAUAUUUCUAGGUA
Molecule: transfer RNA, 65 nt
Filed under: Filchnerella sunanensis
Lineage: Eukaryota; Metazoa; Arthropoda; Insecta; Orthoptera; Pamphagidae
Description: tRNA-Phe
Source: RNAcentral